GCGGAGGGAUCAUUACCGAGUUAUACAACUCAUCAACCCUGUGAACAUACCUAAAACGUUGCUUCGGCGGGAACAGACGGCCCUGUAACAACGGGCCGCCCCCGCCAGAGGACCCCUAACUCUGUUUUUAUAAUGUUUUUCUGAGUAAACAAGCAAAUAAAUUAAAACUUUCAACAACGGAUCUCUUGGCUCUGGCAUCGAUGAAGAACGCAGCGAAAUGCGAUAAGUAAUGUGAAUUGCAGAAUUCAGUGAAUCAUCGAAUCUUUGAACGCACAUUGCGCCCGCCAGUAUUCUGGCGGGCAUGCCUGUUCGAGCGUCAUUACAACCCUCAGGCCCCCGGGCCUGGCGUUGGGGAUCGGCGGAAGCCCCCUGUGGGCACACGCCGUCCCUCAAAUACAGUGGCGGUCCCGCCGCAGCUUCCAUUGCGUAGUAGCUAACACCUCGCAACUGGAGAGCGGCGCGGCCAUGCCGUAAAACACCCAACUUCUGAAUGUUGACCUCGGAUCAGGUAGGAAUACCCGCUG
RNAcentral lists this ribosomal RNA (524 nucleotides) under Fusarium cf. solani 21311. Its description in RNAcentral is "eukaryotic LSU rRNA". The stretch from base 166 to 319 matches the Rfam family "5.8S ribosomal RNA". Lineage: Eukaryota; Fungi; Ascomycota; Sordariomycetes; Hypocreales; Nectriaceae. The record is from RNAcentral.